UUUCCAGCCUGUCCUUGGUGUCUGUCCUUCCAGUACCAUAUGAACGGAAAAGAUAUAGGCACUUUGAGAGUACUUGCAGGAGAUAAAACAUCUUCUUUGAGUAGCAUAUGGGAAAAAACAGGACAGCAACCUAAUCCUGACUCUUGGAAAACUGCUACCAUAUCUAUCCCACUAUAUAGUAAUCUUGGUGUAUGUAUACUACGACUCAUUUAUAAACAAUGUAUGAAAAAUAAGAGUUAAGGAUGUACUUAUGUGAGGUUUUAGAAAUUGUGUCAAAUGUUCAGACUCCAUGUUUUUUUUUCAUACAAUACAAUGUAAAAUAUUUUACCCUUUCACACCCAGUUAUCUUUAUAUAUAAGACUUAAAAGGUCAUAAAGGGUCAUUUGCUUAAAUUGAAGCAGAUUUUAGAUUUUCUUCUAUUGAUUUGAGACCCAAUUAAUACCAAUGUAAUAUAAGAUAAAAGUCCAAGUUAGCUUUUUACCGCCAUUUAAAAAAAAACAGUUAUCUCGAAAAGGAGCUCCAUGACAUGAUGACCUAUCGAUAUUUUAAGCUUGUUUUGUUCCUUAACAAACGCUUUUCGGCACAAUUUUAUGAAAUUUUGGAUCCUCAAUGCUCUUCAACUUUGUACUUGUUUGGCUUUAUAAAUAUUUUGAUAUGAGCGUCACUGAUGAGUCUUAUGCAGACGAAACGCGCGUCUGGCUUACUAAAUUAUAAUCCUGGUACCUUUGACAACUAUUAAGGUAUCAAUUUUAAAUUCUUGAUUUUUUAAAUUCCACAAACCCUCACCUAAGUACAUCCCUUAGCAGAAAUUGCUAUCAAGGCACUUCAUGCUGACGUCAAAAUGUAAAAAGCACCCAUUAUGUGGAAAUGCGGAAAAGUGGUAUCUAUAUAUGAUUUAUAAUGAGACAAAUAUCAAGCAGUCCAAAUGACAUGGAUAAAUAUCACAAACAUGAAUGCCAAAUUGAAAUGACACACCGUCACUGAACUAUUUCGAACAUUCAUAAUGGUUUCCUUUUAUCUGUUCGUUAUAUUAAUGUUGUAAGUAUUCUUUUACUAACGUGACUAAAGAAACUGCGAUGAUAGACUUUCAACAAUUCAUUAACCAUAUUGCAAGUAUUGUGUAACUUGAUAUACCACUCUUUAGUUAUCAUCCUGUAAGUAUUGUGUAACUUGACAUACCACUAUUUAGUAAUUAUCUUGUAAGUAUUGUGUAACUUGACAUACCACUCUUUAGUUAUCAUCCUGUAAGUAUUGUGUAACUUCACAUACCACUCUUUAUGUAUCAUCUUGUAAGUAUUGUGUAGCUUGACAUACAACACUUUAGUUAUCAUCCUGUAAGUAUUGUCUAACUUGACAUACAACACUUUAGUUAUCAUACUGUAAGUAUUGUGUAACUUGACAUACAACACUUUAGAUAUCAAUGGUAAUUAUUGUUAACUGGAUAUUUCACACUACACUGUUGUAUUUAUGACGUAAGUUUUGUAAAACUUGACAUACCAUACUUUUUUUUUAUUAAGUUUUAAGUUUUGUGAUACUUGACAUACCACAAUUUAGUUAUCACUUUGUAAGGAUUUUGCAACUUGAUAAAGCACUAUUAAGUUAUAAAGUGGUACGUAUUGUGUAACUUGAUAAAGCACAAUUUAGUUAUAAAGUGGUAAGUAUUGUGCAACUUGAUAAAGCACAAUUUAGUUAUAAAGUGGUAAGUAUUGUGUAACUUGAUAAAGCACAAUUUAGUUAUAAAGUGGUAACUAUUGUGUAUCCAUCAAGAGUCUUCUGAUCGAUAUAUUAAGAAAUGUUUCAAUGAUAUGUUUCAAUCUUCGUGAUACCACUAAAAAUGUUCACUGCGUUUACUCAUUCUUGUUACAUGAAAUCUCAAAUUCAGUAAUAGAUAUUGGUAUAUAUUGUUUAUUCUUUAAAACAAAAACAAAAAUUUAUCCAGAUCAAGUAUGAAUUACAGCCAUACAGAAAAUCAAAUAAAUAUUAUGGUUUAUUUUCUCAAUGUAAAGAAAAAAUAUUUACAAUUCACAAUACAUCUCAAAACGUUUUUAUUUAAAACACGAAAGUGAAAAAUAUUAGUGCCAAUGUAUUUCAAUACCAAUAACACAUAUUUUAUGUUGCAGAUCACCAUAGAAGCGUCUACAAGAACUGCUGAUGCUUGGUGGGGUGACAUUGCUAUUGAUGAUAUCACUCUCAAAUCUGGUACAUGCUAGUAAGUAUUAAUUUAUUAUUGUCGUCAUCAUGAAUAUUCAUGAGAUAUUUUCCUUUGAAUGUUAAGCUUAAACCAAUGGAUCAAUGUUUCCAUACCAUUUAAUAAAGAGAAAGAAAUAUGAUUACAUGAUGUUUCUUGUUUUUUUUCAAAUACAAUGUAUAAAAAAUGUAAAAACAACUCCGAUGUAAAUUAAAAAAAACGACAACCAUCCGAAGAAGUAUAAUACUUGAUGGAAAAAUGUCUUUAUGUUUUGCAUUUCUUCUAAAUUUAUUUUGCAUUGGAAACUUUGAUAUAUGUCUGUAGAGAUUUAUCAACAACAAUCGAGCGAACAAUCGAUUAAAAAUGUUAAAUACUUCCAAAUUGUCAUGGUAAAAAUAAGCCGAUACAAAAUUAUAUAUAAACAAGAUAAUAUGUACAAAAAUAUUCAUUUACAAUCGUUGAGAAAAUAUAUUUAUUCUUUGAUAACAUUAUUGGCACCAAUUGUACUGCAUCAGAUGCUUAUGUUCAUCGGUAAAUAUUUUGUGACUUUAAGUUAAAAUUCAAUUUGAAAAUGAAUCGUAGAUAAAUGCUUGAUAUCAAAUGUAUAACAUGUAUAAUUCGUUAAUCCCUGCCUGUGGUCGAUCACAUUAUGUUGAUAUGUUGAUGUCUUUUUGUUUCGUUUCUUUAAUUUGCCGUCUCAUAGAUGUAUACCUUACAUCGCGUUUAAUUCAUAUAUUAUUUGCAUUAUAUCAAUAAUACACAUUUCAUGAUAAGAACUUAUUACUUACUGAGACGUACUAACUUAUCAAGAUUGUCUCUGCGAUAGUUUUAAGUACACAAGUAACAUAUCCCAGCUAACCCAUUUAACAGAUAACUUUGAUAAAAUACACAGCUAUGUUUUCAAAACAUUUAUUGGGCAAUGCUGAUUACAAGUGAACAAUAAAUUACGUUUAUUUUAAAUGUGAAAAGUUUCGCUUUUUUAAUCUAUUUUUUUGAAAUAUUCCAUUAAGAUUGUUCAAUGAGUACAAUAAAGUUGACGUUUUUUUCUCUCGAAAUUAUAACAUUUAAAGUUUUAACAAAUCGAAUUGAGUGAUUGUUAAAGUAAUUAACAUGUUUAUCAUCGUUACUCUAUUUACAAAACAUGAGAUGGGUCUUAAUUUUACCCCUGCAGUAAAAAUCGACGGGUGUGUGAUAUUUCGACUAAAAGAAGGAAAAUAUGUUGUUGGUCCGUAUAUUCAGUUGCCUUAACAAAAUUUACUCAACCAUACUAAAUUUAUAUGCAUUACUGUAUUUAAAGGCAUGACAUGCAUUUGGUUUUGAACCUAAAGAGUUAAAAUAUGUUUACAUUGAAAUUCUAAAAAUAUCAAUAAAGGCAAAUCCAUAAAAAAACAUACCAAAUACCCAGAGAAGCAAUUCAAAAGUCCAACAAUGGGUUGGUGUUAAACAAGUUAUACAGUGAAAAGAUUUUUACCCCUUUUUCUUAGUGCAUUCCCUUGGUUUCAUGUACGUUUGAAUGAAACCUCCUUGAGUAGUUACAAGUAUAUCAAAACGUUUUACACAUUGAGUAAAUCACUUAACAAGCAUAAUUCGUCUCAUCAUAGACUAACACAACUAGAGUAAGAAUUAGGCUUGCGAUAUUUUUUAAGCCUAUAAGUUGGGUCAUCGGGUUUUAUGGGAAUGAUAAACACCUUCAACAAUUUGUAAAAAAUACUAAACGGUAAGUAACACUUGGUAUAACCACAUGAGUGUAUGCAGAAUAUGAACACAUGCUCUGUAAUUUCUAUUUGAAAGUGAAACAGUUCAAAAGAGACAAACAUACACGUGUCUUUUAUAAUCUACACAUAGAUAAAUAUUCUCUCUUCCGAUAUGACAGUCGUGAAUAAGACAUUUAUAUUCAUAAUAUAUUUGAAUAUCAGAAAUUCUCCGUAAAUAGAUAGGGGAAAUGUGUUAUAACUAUUUGUCUCUCUUUUUUAGAUCCUUUAGAGUGAACAGAAAACAGAAAAAAAACGAUGACAUUGAUUGUAGGAUAUUCAUUGUUGCUUGCUCAUUAUAAUGAUCAAGGUGAUAUUUAGUAACUAGUACUUUAUAAUGAACGUGUGAUAAUAACUGUUACUUUUUCAUUAUAAUGAGCAGAAUCUACAAUGAUAAAAAAAUAAAUAAAAAAAUAGC
RNAcentral lists this long non-coding RNA (4357 nucleotides) under Mytilus galloprovincialis (Mediterranean mussel). The record is from RNAcentral. Lineage: Eukaryota; Metazoa; Mollusca; Bivalvia; Mytilida; Mytilidae.